This 521-nucleotide ribosomal RNA is filed under the name uncultured bacterium. RNAcentral's name for it is "bacterial SSU rRNA". It matches the Rfam family "Bacterial small subunit ribosomal RNA", at positions 9 to 531 of the family's 1533-position model. The record is from RNAcentral.
GAGUUUGAUCCUGGCUCAGGAUGAACGCUAGCGGGAGGCUUAACACAUGCAAGUCGAGGGGUAUAAGUAGCAAUAUUUAGAGACCGGCGCACGGGUGAGUAACGCGUAUGCAACCUGCCCUUUACUGGGGAGUAGCCCGUAGAAAUGCGGAUUAAUACCCCAUAGUACUGUUAGAUCGCAUGGUUUGACAGUUAAAGUUUCGGUGGUAAAGGAUGGGCAUGCGUGACAUUAGCUAGUUGGAGAGGUAACGGCUCACCAAGGCUACGAUGUCUAGGGGUUCUGAGAGGAAGAUCCCCCACACUGGUACUGAGACACGGACCAGACUCCUACGGGAGGCAGCAGUGAGGAAUAUUGGUCAAUGGGGGCAACCCUGAACCAGCCAUGCCGCGUGAAGGAAGACUGCCCUAAGGGUUGUAAACUUCUUUUGUACUAGGGUAAACUUGAUCUUGCGAGGUCAACUGAAAGUAUAGUACGAAUAAGCAUCGGCUAACUCCGUGCCAGCAGCCGCGGUAAUACGGGGG